CUACGGAGGGGGUUAGCGUUGUUCGGAAUUACUGGGCGUAAAGCGCACGUAGGCGGACUGGAAAGUUGGGGGUGAGAUCCCGGGGCUCAACCCCGGAACUGCCUCCAAAACUUCCAAUCUAGAGUUCGAGAGAGGUGAGUGGAAUUCCAAGUGUAGAGGUGAAAUUCGUAGAUAUUUGGAGGAACACCAGUGGCGAAGGCGGCUCACUGGCUCGAUACUGACGCUGAGGUGCGAAAGCGUGGGUAGCAAACGGGAUUAGAAACCCCGGUAGUCC
This 274-nucleotide ribosomal RNA is filed under the name uncultured bacterium. RNAcentral describes it as "partial 16S ribosomal RNA". It matches the Rfam family "Bacterial small subunit ribosomal RNA", at positions 523 to 796 of the family's 1533-position model. The record is from RNAcentral.